RNAcentral lists this ribosomal RNA (720 nucleotides) under uncultured bacterium. RNAcentral describes it as "bacterial SSU rRNA". It matches the Rfam family "Bacterial small subunit ribosomal RNA", at positions 66 to 833 of the family's 1533-position model. The record is from RNAcentral.
ACGAACCUUCGGGUUUAGUGGCGCACGGGUGCGUAACGCGUGGGAAUAUGCCCUUCACUGCGGAAUAAUGUCUGGAAACGGACACUAAUACCGCAUAAUGACUCCGGUCCAAAGAUUUAUCGGUGAAGGAUUAGCCCGCGUCUGAUUAGUUAGUUGGUGAGGUAAUGGCUCACCAAGACGAUGAUCAGUAGCUGGUCUGAGAGGAUGAUCAGCCACACUGGAACUGAGACACGGUCCAGACUCCUACGGGAGGCAGCAGUGAGGAAUAUUGGACAAUGGGGGAAACCCUGAUCCAGCCAUGCCGCGUGAGUGAAGAAGGCCUUAGGGUUGUAAAGCUCUUUUAAUAGCGAAGAUAAUGACGGUAGCUAUAGAAAAAGCCCCGGCUAAAUUCGUGCCAGCAGCCGCGGUAAUACGAAUGGGGCAAGCGUUGUUCGGAAUCACUGGGCUUAAAGCGUGCGUAGGCGGAUAUGAAAGUCAGAAGUGAAAUCCCAGGGCUCAACCCUGGAAUUGCUUUUGAAACUCCAUGUCUAGAAUCCGGUAGGGGUCAGGGGAAUUCCUAGUGUAGAGGUGAAAUUCGCAGAUAUUAGGAGGAACACCAGUGGCGUAGGCGCCUGACUGGGCCGGUAUUGACGCUGAGGUACGAAAGCGUGGGGAUCAAACAGGAUUAGAUACCCUGGUAGUCCACGCCGUAAACGAUGUGUGCUAGCUGUCGGGUCCAUA